Molecule: ribosomal RNA, 450 nt
Filed under: uncultured bacterium
Lineage: Bacteria
Description: partial 16S ribosomal RNA
Rfam family: Bacterial small subunit ribosomal RNA
Source: RNAcentral
GUGGGGAAUAUUGGACAAUGGGCGAAAGCCUGAUCCAGCCAUGCCGCGUGUGUGAAGAAGGUCUUCGGUUUGUAAAGCACUUUAAGUUGGGAGGAAGGGCAGUAAGUUAAUACCUUGCUGUUUUGACGUUACCGACAGAAUAAGCACCGGCUAACUUCGUGCCAGCAGCCGCGGUAAUACGAAGGGUGCAAGCGUUAAUCGGAAUUACUGGGCGUAAAGCGCGCGUAGGUGGUUUUGUAAGUUGGAGGUGAAAUCCCCGGACUCAACCUGGGAACGGCCUCCAAAACUGCAUGACUAGAGUACGGUAGAGGGUAGUGGAAUUUCCUGUGUAGCGGUGAAAUGCGUAGAUAUAGGAAGGAACACCAGUGGCGAAGGCGACUACCUGGACUGAUACUGACACUGAGGUGCGAAAGCGUGGGGAGCAAACAGGAUUAGAAACCCUGGUAGUCC